CCUACGGGUGGCUGCAGUGAGGAAUAUUGGUCAAUGGCCGGAAGGCUGAACCAGCCAAGUCGCGUGAGGGAAUAAGGCCCUAUGGGUCGUAAACCUCUUUUGUCAGGGAGCAAAGGCGUCCACGUGUGGACGUGAGGAGAGUACCUGAAGAAAAAGCAUCGGCAAACUCCGUGCCAGCGGCCGCGGUAUUACGGAGGAUGCGAGCGUUAUCCGGUUGUAUUGGGUUUAAAGGGUGGUUAGUCGGAGUGUCAAGUCAGCGGUAAAAUUUCGGGGCUCAACCCCGUCGUGCCGUUGAAACUGGCGGCCUUGAGUGAGUGUGAAGUAAGCGGAAUGCGUGGUGUAGCGGUGAAAUGCAUAGAUAUCACGCAGAACGCCGAUUGCGAAGGCAGCUUACCGGCGCUCAACUGACGCUGAGGCACGAAAGUGCGGGUAUCGAACAGGAUUAGAUACCCCAGUAGUC
Molecule: ribosomal RNA, 460 nt
Filed under: uncultured bacterium
Lineage: Bacteria
Description: partial 16S ribosomal RNA
Rfam family: Bacterial small subunit ribosomal RNA
Source: RNAcentral